AAGCAUCCUAGUACUUAUAGAUCUAAAGAAGCUGGGAGCCUGGCUUCUGUUCUCCCCUGACAUAGAUCACAUCAGCAUGUGUGUCUGUUAGACUCAAGCUGCUGCAGCACCUCUUAAAAUGUACAACUGACUGACAAUGGAAGUGGUACUUAGCGAAGUAAGGGAAAUGCUUUCAAAAAUGGUGCUGUAGCAAUAGUCAAUCUUCUGGAAACAAAAAUCUAUUCUUUAUUAACGAUUUGAG
Molecule: non-coding RNA, 241 nt
Organism: Pelobates cultripes (western spadefoot toad)
Lineage: Eukaryota; Metazoa; Chordata; Amphibia; Anura; Pelobatidae
Source: the annotation of a GenBank genome assembly